Molecule: ribosomal RNA, 832 nt
Filed under: uncultured bacterium
Lineage: Bacteria
Description: bacterial SSU rRNA
Rfam family: Bacterial small subunit ribosomal RNA
Source: RNAcentral
UNUGACUUGAGUGCAGAAGGGGAGAGUGGAAUUCCAUGUGUAGCGGUGAAAUGCGUAGAUAUAUGGAGGANCACCAGUGGCGAAAGCGGCUCUCUGGUCUGUCACUGACGCUGAGGCUCGAAAGCGUGGGUAGCGAACAGGAUUAGAUACCCUGGUAGUCCACGCCGUAAACGAUGAGUGCUAGGUGUUAGGCCCUUUCCGGGGCUUAGUGCCGGAGCUAACGCAAUAAGCACUCCGCCUGGGGAGUACGACCGCAAGGUUGAAACUCAAAGGAAUUGACGGGGGCCCGCACAAGCGGUGGAGCAUGUGGUUUAAUUCGAAGCAACGCGAAGAACCUUACCAGGUCUUGACAUCCCGAUGCUAUUCUUAGAGAUAGGAAGUUACUUCGGUACAUCGGAGACAGGUGGUGCAUGGUUGUCGUCAGCUCGUGUCGCGAGAUGUUGGGUUAAGUCCCGCAACGAGCGCAACCCUUAUUGUUAGUUGCCAUCAUUAAGUUGGGCACUCUAGCGAGACUGCCGGUAAUAAACCGGAGGAAGGUGGGGAUGACGUCAAAUCAUCAUGCCCCUUAUGACCUGGGCUACACACGCGCUACAAUGGUCGGUACAACGAGUUGCGAGCCGGUGACGGCAAGCUAAUCUCUGAAAGCCGAUCUCAGUUCGGAUUGGAGGCUGCAACUCGCCUCCAUGAAGUCGGAAUCGCUAGUAAUCGCGGAUCAGCACGCCGCGGUGAAUACGUUCCCGGGCCUUGUACACACCGCCCGUCACACCACGAGAGUUUGUAACACCCGAAGUCGGUGAGGUAACCUUUUAGGGGCCAGCCGCCUAAGGUNGGA